CACGAGUUUGAUCCUGGCUCAGAAUGAACGUUGGCGGCGUGGAUUAGGCAUGCAAGUCGCGCGAUAAAUGUAGCAAUACAUGGAAAGCGGCGAAAGGGACAGUAACGUGUGGGAACCUACCUCGGGGUCUGGGAUAGCGGCGGGAAACUGCCGGUAAUACCAGAUUAUGUCUCCGGACCAAAGGUGUGAUUCCGCCCUAAGAUGGGCCCACAUGCUAUUAGCUAGUUGGCGGGGUAAUGGCCCACCAAGGCUAAGAUGGCUAGCGGGUGUGAGAGCACGACCCGCGUCACUGGGACUGAGAUACUGCCCAGACACCUACGGGUGGCUGCAGUCGAGAAUCUUCGGCAAUGGGCGCAAGCCUGACCGAGCGACGCCGCGUGCGGGAUGAAGGCCCUCGGGUUGUAAACCGCUGUCGAGGGGGACGAAAUUCCGGUGGGUACUCCCAUCGGAUUGACCGAUCCCUGGAGGAAGGGUGGGCUAAGUUCGUG
This 488-nucleotide ribosomal RNA is filed under the name uncultured bacterium. Its description in RNAcentral is "bacterial SSU rRNA". It matches the Rfam family "Bacterial small subunit ribosomal RNA", at positions 1 to 507 of the family's 1533-position model. The record is from RNAcentral.